Molecule: long non-coding RNA, 3034 nt
Filed under: Panax ginseng (ginseng)
Lineage: Eukaryota; Viridiplantae; Streptophyta; Magnoliopsida; Apiales; Araliaceae
Description: long non-coding RNA (PGIN_LNC015822)
Source: RNAcentral
AUAUAGCUGCAGACUACAGCGGGCGACUUAUUUUUAGCUUCUGUUUCGACUGUCGGUAAUUAAAACCAUCCAUUUUAUCUUGCCAAUCUUGAUAGAUAUCUUUUUCUCAGAGAGAGAGCGUUAUUGAAUCUAAUUAUUGGGUUAGCCUGUAACUCUAACUAAGUAACUAUAUUAAUUGUCAAACUCUAGUACUGGAACACAACCAAAAUUUUGGGUGUUCAUUAGAUCAUAUUAUACAAUAUUGAUAUAAUCCGCUUGAAAUAAUAAUAAUCAUCAUCUUCCUUCACCAACGCAACGCUGCUUUAAUAUCAUAGUCAACAAAUAUUCUUUCAUUAAUUUGCAACAAAUUUACGAAAAGAAGAAGAACAAUGGAAUAAGUAAUAUACUAGUAUCACAAACAGUCAAAUUAUUGACUUUUUUUCUUUGAAUGUAAAUUGUUUGACUUUAAUAUAUCCCGAUUAAAUUGUUAAAUUUUAAAUUUUAUAUUGUAAUGUGAAUGGUAUGUCAUUGUCCACAUAAUCUGGUGAAUGGUAUGUUAUGUCCACAUAAUCUGGUGAAUGGCAUGUUACUUGUAAAGGGAGGUUCAGGAAAUAAGGACUACAUAAAUCUUUCUUAAAUGUGGGCAGAGGAUAUGAUCUAAAUCCAUGGUCUGCUCCAUGAUGGCUACAAAUGGCACAAAACUUUUAUGUGGCUUAUAUUUUUUGAUGUUUUGUAGGAGGCGUCACAAAUCUCUGAUGCAGCCGAGAGCUAUUCAAGUGAUUCCUGGUUUGUUGAAGAAGUUGAGGGCUCUUGAAAAUGAAGCUCAAAAUGUUAAACACAAACAUAGGUUGUAAUUAGAAUUUGGGAGAUGGAAAAGUUAGGUUGUGUGAAGUCCCUAUUUUAAAUGUAAUGAAUUGAUUGUAAUGAAGCAAAGCUUUUGCCAACAAAGGAUGACUACUAGUUGAUUUAGACAACUUUUAAAUACUGUUUUGUGCAAUGUGAUGAAGACUGUACAUGUCUUACAGGAACAUGAAUGGUUAAAAGCAAUUUUGUUACACCAUGAUCUAUUGAGGUUGAUUGACCCUGGGUUAAUUUCUCCAUCCUGCGUUCUAGGCAACUCGCAAGCCCUAUUGAGUGAUUUAGUAGCAUGCUUAUUUUCAGAUUGUAUACAUCAGUUUCCUAGAAUCAUAAUAUUAGAGAGAGAUUAAGACUUUGGGAAAUUAGAAAGAUGAAAUGGCAGAUAUUAACUGAGAAUGGUAAAGAACAAAAAUAGUGAAGGCUUGACAAUUUACAAACACUCACUCAAUAUUGUUCAACAUUCAUUCAUACAUAUCAAGAAGAUGAGUGAGGAGGACAUGUAAUAUAAAUAAAUUCUUGUACAUCAUCAGCAUCAUCAAAGUAUAAAAUAGCUUCUAAAUAUAAUAGAAUUUUGGCUUUUCCCAUAUAGCAAGCAGCUUUUGCCUCGUUUUUGAAUCAGUAUUGCCUGCUUCUAUAAGCAUUCACAAGAGAGAAAUGUUGCCCAUUCACAGGAGAGAAAUGUUGCCUCUUUUCUUACCACAACCAACAGGACCAACACAACUUCACCAUACCGAUCGCACCAUGACCUGAAGAACAGAAGAAGAACAAAUUCAAAUCACAAAUAAAUAAUAGAUCACAGAUUACAAAGCAAUAUAUAUUUCAUCUUCUCAAAUCUGAAAUACUACAUUCAAGUUCCAAAUUCAUUAUAAAGUCAAAGUUUCUCAAUAAACCAAAAAAGAAAUAUAAUUCUCAGUUAGGUGGAGAUAAGAGCAGAUUCCAAGCAGGCAAUCAGGCAUAAAAGAGUAAGAAACUACCACCAAUUUAUAUGUUUUUCAAAUGCAUUUCAGAAGCUUAAAGACUGGCACAGAAAAAAUAGCCUUUCCAUUCUAUUAUGACAGAAUCCUCAUAAAAGUUACAGUAGAUAGUAACAAGUCCUCUAUUUUGUAUUGUCAAAUUUACAUAUUAUAAUUCUAUCUCUCUCAAACACACACCUACACAAGAAAAGGGAAGCAAAAGUCAAAGUACACUUUGAUUUCGAAUAUUGAAAAAGUGAUAGCACAUGAACAGUAGAAGCAAUUACAAGGGGCAGAGGCAACCUGCCAAAUCAUGGAUGCCAUGCUUUUACUUUUCCUUUUUACUCAUUCCCCACCAGAAUGAAGAUGUAUUUUAAACACUACAUUGAACUAAUUCAUAAAGAACUUUGAGAAUAUGGAAAGGUAGUCCACCGUCUGUGCAGGUCAGCCACAAAGCAUGUUUCUCACUCUAAAGGAUAGUGCAUGAGCAAGUACCCUGUUUUGGCUUCUCCUCCUUGUUCUUGUCUGCAGUACACCCAAAGAUGGAAGCAGAGAAAUUAAAAUAGUAGUGCAUUAUGUUAAGUCAAAGGCUUUAAGGCAUAUCAUCACAGAGGACCUUACAUAUCAUCACAGAGUAAGACAAUACAUACACAAACUGAUAUCAAAAUACCGAACUGUUAUAGGGCAAAUCAUCACAGAGGUGGCGAAUUACAGGGCAUAUCAUCACAGAGGAACUUACAUACACAAAAUUCUUCCAAACUGAUAUCAAAAUACCGAACUGUUAUACUAAAAUUGCAGAAGUCUGACAAUCAAGGACUGUAACAGGGAGAUUUUAGCAAGAAUUUGAGUUAUAUGAAACUGAUUUACCUGAUUUGGAGAGAAGUUCGGCUUUUGUUCUAAACUGAGAAACUGAGGUAUAACAGGCUUUUGUUCGUUCACAGCGAAAUAGGCUACCAGCUCUCAGCGAAUCUAGGGCACAGCGAAAUCUCGGUCGCGAUUCUCAGUUGCAGUUGCCUAAAUCGCGAAUCUCGGUUGCAUUUGGAGAGAAGAGAGAAACUAGGGCUUGGGUAUGAGAUGCAAUUCGUAUUUAGAGAGAAGAGAGAGACAAGCACGGGUUUUGCUGACAAGGAAGGCUCUUCAAUUUAUGUUUUUAAAUAGUUAUGCUAGUUAAGGUUUUUAUGUUAGUUAGCUAUUAUACUCAUGAACUUUCCCGUAUAUAUAUAUAUAUAUAUUUGACGUGUGUG